CCCGUAAAAAAAAAGUGUUGUAUUCGAAUCACCUGAUUUCACUUCACCUUAAAGCUAAAAUCAAUGAAGAAUGAAUCAAUGGGGUCUCUCCAAGAUUAAGAUGUAUUCGUUACAAGAAUGAACAGUGCCUCGUACAAUUUACAUUGAAUUUUCGACGGAAAACGUUGACCGGACGCCAUGUCACCGUCCUAGGGCUAUAGCAAAGAACACGAACGUACAACUUUUCUUGUAAACAUUUCAUUCUGAAUAAAUUCCAAACCAACUAUACAAUUAAAUGUUAAAGAAACUUUCUGACAAAA
This is a long non-coding RNA of Orussus abietinus, 299 nucleotides long. RefSeq lists it as uncharacterized. The record is from RefSeq and is a predicted model, not a curated record. The transcript has 3 exons. NCBI's taxonomy places the organism in Eukaryota, Metazoa, Arthropoda, Insecta, Hymenoptera, Orussidae.